RNAcentral lists this long non-coding RNA (1401 nucleotides) under Homo sapiens (human). RNAcentral's name for it is "HSALNT0396628". Lineage: Eukaryota; Metazoa; Chordata; Mammalia; Primates; Hominidae. The record is from RNAcentral.
UGUUUCCAUUUGUGAACAACAUAUAUGUGUGUAUGAAUAAAAUUUAUAAAUGGACAUAACCUUAUACACAAGAUUUAAAAUAACCCCUGGGCACAUGUGGGCCCAACCCAGAGAUAGCCCUUCCUGAAAUGACUGGAGCCAAGAGCCUGUCACGCUCGCGGUAUUCAGUGCAAGGUCUGAUCGCGUCUUCUGUCACUCAAGGCCUGAGGGCGCGGAGCCUGGAGCUCUAUCCAUUAAGGGCGCUGGGGUGGGAACUGUCCAAUCAGGUUCACAGUCAGAGAGGAAGGGGUGGCUCCCGGUACCUGGCGGGGCCUUUGUCUCUUGCUCCAGCCAGAGCUCGAGGUUAGCUCUUCACUGCCCUGUGUCUUCUUUCCAAGGGUCUCGGUGAUUCGGCCACAGCCUCAGCCUCCAUCACGCGGUGAACUGAUGGUGCUGGAAGAUUCAUAGACUCCAGGACAUUCCUGAAGCCGAGAAAAGGUUAAGUAGGGUCUGGCCUGGAAUACUCUCCUAGAUGAAGAUAGCCCAACCAUGAGCCACCUUCGAAGCAGAUGAGAUGAAAUUAAAGCUCUUCAACUCCUAAAGGCCCAGAGACUAUCACAAAAGAGGUCAGAAAUCCUGAAGGUCACUUUCUGACAAACUCAGGAACCCCAGGUUUAUCUUGGAGCCUCAAGAGGAGAUAAAUUCACCCAACUCAGAAACCACCCCACUGGCAGGAGACGGCGGUAGCUGUGGUCAUUGAAAACAAGCUCCUGCUGAUAAAUCUCAGACACCAGACACAGAAGAACCUGGAGACCCUGCCAGAGAGCUUGAGGCAAAUGGAUGGACUGUUGGAGCAGCUGAGGGUGAAGCAGCACAAACUCCUCAAAGUUGAAUAGCAAAGCAGCCACCAGAGAUGGACAAGAAAAAUGAACAAAGAAAAUUAGCAGAAAUCAAAGGCAGAUGCUAAAGCAGUGCAAAAUCAUUCAUUCAAUGAUAGAAAUGAAAUUGAUGAAGGAGUCUGGAAAAUGAAUGACAGAAGAGAAUUAAACAGCAGUGACCAUAGUAAGGUCCUGACGAUUCUGGUCCACUGAAUCCCAUCAUCCCUAAGACAGUAAAUAUCAUCACAGUCACCACCAGCAAGUUACCACCACAGCAUUUCCUGUUUGUUCCAAAAUGAAUAAAGAUGAUUCUCAUCACAAGGGCAAAUACAAAGUAGUUUAGUAUGUUUUUAACUAAACUAAAGGUGUUUGGUUUACUUUUUCUAAGUUCUCAUAAUUCUGAAAAUGCAGUUGACACUUGUGUGGCUCAUGAUGUUUUUAAUAGUCUAAUGCUACUUGAAUUGUUCAAAAACCACUGUAUUUUAAAUUAAGAUGAAUAAACGGUCCUUUGAAAACUGGCACAAGGCAAGGAUGCCCUCUGUCA